GUGUCAGCCGCCGCGGUAAUACGGGGGGGGCAAGCGUUGUUCGGAAUUACUGGGCGUAAAGGGCUCGUAGGCGGCCCACUAAGUCAGAUGUGAAAUCCCCAGGCUCAACCUGGGAACUGCAUCUGAUACUGGUGGGCUUGAAUUCGGGAGAGGGAUGCAGAAUUCCAGGUGUAGCGGUGAAAUGCGUAGAUAUCUGGAGGAAUACCGGUGGCGAAGGCGGCAUCCUGGACCGACAUUGACGCUGAGGAGCGAAAGCUAGGGGAGCAAACGGGAUUAGAUACCCCGGUAGUCC
Molecule: ribosomal RNA, 292 nt
Filed under: uncultured bacterium
Lineage: Bacteria
Description: partial 16S ribosomal RNA
Rfam family: Bacterial small subunit ribosomal RNA
Source: RNAcentral